This 872-nucleotide ribosomal RNA is filed under the name Cumberlandia monodonta. RNAcentral describes it as "12S ribosomal RNA". Lineage: Eukaryota; Metazoa; Mollusca; Bivalvia; Unionida; Margaritiferidae. The record is from RNAcentral.
GAGUACUUCGUUCUGAUACCAGAUUAGCCCCAGCCUCUAAACUUCAUAUGGUAACCUACAUACUUUGUGAAUAAGCCCCACGUACUCCAAAAUACCAUUAAACAUGGUAACUCUUCCACAAAAAACACUGGGGUGAGAUAACCUCACAGGUCAACUCAAGACAAUAACCCUGUCCACAACACCAAUGACUUACUUUGCAACAGCUAGGUAACUAGGCCACAGAGACGGCUCAUUAAAGUGACCAAGAAGGUGCCAGCAGUCGCGGUUAAACCUUCGCUUUUCGCUAAUCCGCUCAACCUCGAGCGAUAACACGACUAUGACUAAAAACCUUUCCCCAGAGGUAAAAUCCAAAGCUUCAAGAAAUACCCAACCAAGUCAUCCAUCAAUACCCUCAACAAACCAUAACACAAAACAGGGAUUAGAUACCCCACUAUUGCAUGGCCCAACACAACAAACACUAAAAACGAAAGUUUAAAACUUAAAGAAUCGUGGCGGUGUUCUAUUACAUAUUAGGGGAUCCUGUGGCUUAAUCCGAUAAUCCACGCAAAUCAAAGCCUUAUUAGCUCUCAGCUUGUGUAUGGCCGUUUACGCUCGCUCACCCUAAAGACACAAAAGGAAGCAAAUCAAUGAGCCCACAGCCCCAUAAUUCAGGUGACAUACAGCCAAUAUAAAGCGGACCAUGGGAUACAAAUAAACACCAUUACCCCGGAGUAAAGAGAAACCUUUACUUUAAGGAGGACUUAAAAGUAAGGCCACCAACAAAAAUCUGACCUGAACAAGAUCUAGAACACGCACAAAUCGCCCGUCACUCCCGCACUCCCAAAGUGGGAUAAGUCGUAACACAGUAGGGGUAAUGGAAAUUGCCCCUAUUA